UUCGUAGGCGGUGCGGCAAGUCGGGAGUGAAAUCUCUGGGCUUAACUCAGAGGCUGCUUCCGAAACUGCUGUGCUCGAGUGUGGGAGAGGCGCGUGGAAUUGCAGGUGUAGCGGUGAAAUGCGUAGAUAUCUGCAGGAACACCCGUGGCGAAAGCGGCGCGCUGGACCACAACUGACGCUGAGGAACGAAAGCUAGGGGAGCAAACAGGAUUAGAUACCCUGGUAGUCCUAGCCCUAAACGAUCAGGACUUGGGGUGCCGCCCGUUCGGGCGUCGUUCCGGAGCUAACGCGUUAAGUCCUGCACCUGGGGAGUACGGUCGCAAGACUGAA
RNAcentral lists this ribosomal RNA (330 nucleotides) under uncultured bacterium. Its description in RNAcentral is "bacterial SSU rRNA". It matches the Rfam family "Bacterial small subunit ribosomal RNA", at positions 568 to 898 of the family's 1533-position model. The record is from RNAcentral.